Molecule: ribosomal RNA, 795 nt
Filed under: uncultured bacterium
Lineage: Bacteria
Description: bacterial SSU rRNA
Rfam family: Bacterial small subunit ribosomal RNA
Source: RNAcentral
AGAGUUUGAUCAUGGCUCAGAUUGAACGCUGGCGGCAUGCCUUACACAUGCAAGUCGAGCGGCAGCGCGGGGGCAACCCUGGCGGCGAGCGGCGAACGGGUGAGUAAUGCAUCGGAACGUGUCCUUUUGUGGGGGGAUAACCAGUCGAAAGACUGGCUAAUACCGCAUGAGCUCGUAAGAGGAAAGCAGGGGACCCGCAAGGGCCUUGCGCGAGAGGAGCGGCCGAUGCCCGAUUAGCUAGUUGGUGGGGUAAAAGCCUACCAAGGCGACGAUCGGUAGCUGGUCUGAGAGGACGACCAGCCACACUGGGACUGAGACACGGCCCAGACUCCUACGGGAGGCAGCAGUGGGGAAUUUUGGACAAUGGGGGAAACCCUGAUCCAGCCAUGCCGCGUGUGUGAAGAAGGCCUUCGGGUUGUAAAGCACUUUCGGACGGAACGAAAUCGCGCGGGUGAAUAUCCCGCGUGGAUGACGGUACCGUAAGAAGAAGCACCGGCUAACUACGUGCCAGCAGCCGCGGUAAUACGUAGGGUGCGAGCGUUAAUCGGAAUUACUGGGCGUAAAGUGUGCGCAGGCGGCGUCGCAAGUCGAGUGUGAAAGCCCCGGGCUUAACUUGGGAAUUGCGCUCGAAACUACGGUGCUGGAGUAUGGCAGAGGAAGGUGGAAUUCCCGUGUAGCGGUGAAAUGCGUAGAGAUGUGGAGGAACACCGAUGGCGAAGGCAGCCUUCUGGGCCAAUACUGACGCUCAUGCACGAAAGCGUGGGGAGCAAACAGGAUUAGAUACCCUAGUAGUCC